RNAcentral lists this ribosomal RNA (360 nucleotides) under uncultured Streptococcus sp. Its description in RNAcentral is "bacterial SSU rRNA". It matches the Rfam family "Bacterial small subunit ribosomal RNA", at positions 1019 to 1382 of the family's 1533-position model. The record is from RNAcentral. Lineage: Bacteria; Bacillati; Bacillota; Bacilli; Lactobacillales; Streptococcaceae.
UUCGGUACAUCGGUGACAGGUGGUGCAUGGUUGUCGUCAGCUCGUGUCGUGAGAUGUGGUUAAGUCCCGCAACGAGCGCAACCCCUAUUGUUAGUUGCCAUCAUUCAGUUGGGCACUCUAGCGAGACUGCCGGUAAUAAACCGGAGGAAGGUGGGGAUGACGUCAAAUCAUCAUGCCCCUUAUGACCUGGGCUACACACGUGCUACAAUGGUUGGUACAACGAGUUGCGAGUCGGUGACGGCGAGCUAAUCUCUUAAAGCCAAUCUCAGUUCGGAUUGUAGGCUGCAACUCGCCUACAUGAAGUCGGAGUCGCUAGUAAUCGCGGAUCAGCACGCCGCGGUGAAUACGUUCCCGGGCCUU